GUAUUAGCUAGUUGGUAAGGUAACGGCUUACCAARGCMACGAUACSUAGCCGACCUGAGAGGGUGAUCGGCCACMCUGGAACUGAGACACGGUCCAGACUCCUACGGGAGGCSCAGUAGGGAAUCUUCCGCAAUGGGCGAAASCCUGACGGAGCAACGCCGCSUGAGUGAUGAAGGUCUUCGGAUCGUAAAACUCUGUUAUCAGGGAAGAACAAAUGUGUAAGUAACUGUGCACAUCUUGACSGUACCUGAUCAGAAAGCCACGGCUAACUACGUGCCAGCAGCCGCGGUAAUACGUAGGUGGCAAGCGUUAUCCGGAAUUAUUGGGCGUAAAGCGCGCGUAGGCGGUUUUUUAAGUCUGAUGUGAAAGCCCMCGGCUCAACCGUGGAGGGUCAUGGAAACUGGAAAACUUGAGUGCAGAAGAGGAAAGUGGAAUUCCAUGUGUAGCGGUGAAAUGCGCAGAGAUAUGGAGGAACACCAGUGGCGAAGGCGACUUUCUGGUCUGUAACUGACGCUGAUGUGCGAAAGCGUGGGGAUCAAACAGGAUUAGAUACCCUGGUAGUCCACGCCGUAAACGAUGAGUGCUAAGUGUUAGGGGGUUUCCGCCCCUUAGUGCUGCAGCUAACGCAUUAAGCACUCCGCCUGGGGAGUACGACCGCAAGGUUGAAACUCAAAGGAAUUGACGGGGACCCGCACAAGCGGUGGAGCAUGUGGUUUAAUUYGAAGCAACGCGAAGAACCUUACCAAAUCUUGACAUCCUUUGACCRCUCUAGAGAUAGAGUUUUCCCCUUCGGGGKACAAAGUGACAGGUGGUGCAUGGNUGUCGUCAGYUCGUGUSRUGAGAKGUKGGGUUAAGUCCCGCAACGAGYGCAACCYUWAAGSUUAGUUGYCAUCAUUAAKU
This 900-nucleotide ribosomal RNA is filed under the name Staphylococcus warneri. RNAcentral's name for it is "partial 16S ribosomal RNA". Lineage: Bacteria; Bacillati; Bacillota; Bacilli; Caryophanales; Staphylococcaceae. The record is from RNAcentral.